CUCUGUUGCCUAGGCUAGAGUGCAGUGGUGAGAUCUCAGCUCACUGCAACCUCUGCCUCCCAGGCUCAACUGAUCCUCCAACCGCAGCCUCACGAGUAGCUGGGACUACGGGUGUGCAACACCACACCUGGCUAAUUUUUGAAUUUUUUGUAGAGAUGAGGUUUUGCCAUGUUGCCCAAGCUAGUCUCAAACUCCUGGGCUCAAGCCAUCCACAUGCUUUUGCCUCCCAAAGGGCUGGGAUUACAGGCAUAAGACACUGUGCCCAGCCACAAAGCAGCAAUUUAUCAUUAAAUGGAAAUGGUUAUAUGUGAUGGUUAAUUUUAAGUGUCAACUUGACUGGGCCACAAGGUGCCCAGAUACUUGGUUCAACAUUAUUCUGGGUGUGUCUGUGAGGGUGUUUCUGGAUGAGACUAACAUUAGAAUCAGUAGUCUGAAGCAGAUUAUCCUCCCCAUUAUAGGUGAGCCUCAUCCAAUCUAUUGAAGGUGUAAAUAGAACAAAAGGCUGAAUGAGAGAAAAUUCAUUCUCUCUGCCUGAUGGUAUUCAAACUGAGACAUUGGUAUUCUCCUGCCUUUGGACUUGAAUUGGAACUUAUGCCAUUAACUUGCUGGUAGUCAGGCCUGCAGACUGCAGGUUUUGGAACUUCUCUGCAGAUCUUGAGAAUUCCCAGCCUCCAAAAUCAUGUGAGCUAAUUUCUUAUAAUAAACAUAUAUCUAUAUCUAUAUUGGUUAUAUUAUAGAUGAAGAAGAGAUACAUGAAUGGAACACAGAAUGGAUACAGACUGUGAAAAAAUUAAUGUUCCAGGUGACUGUCCACCAAAAGCCUCUUUUCCUGGCACCCCCAGUGCUGCUCAGUUAGCCCUUGGACAAAGUGGCCAUUUUGGCAGGCAUGGAGCCUAUGCAUGAGCUCAACAACACAGAGUUUCCCUUACCAAGGCUGAUCUAAUUAAUGCUACCACUGAGUGCCUAAUAUGUCAAGAGCAGAAACCAACAUUGAGGCCCUGAUACACACUAUUCUCUGAGGGGACCACCUUCCCACUGGAUGCUUAAUGGCAGGUUAAUUACACUGGCCUUCCUCCAUCAUGGAGGGGGCAGAGGGUUUUUUGUUUCGUUUUGUUUUUGAGGCAGGGUCUUGCUCUGUCACUCAGGUUGGAGUGCAGUGGCACAAUCACACAAUUACAGCUCACUGCAACCUCUGUCUCCUGGGCUGAAGCAAUCCUCCCACCUCAGCCUCCCAAGUAGCUGAGAUUACAGGCAUGAACCACCACGCCCUGCCAAAAGAUACAUUCUGAAUAUGGAUUUGCUUUCCUUAUACACAAUGCGUUUACCAGGACCACCAUUUGUGGGCUUACAAAAUGCCUUAUCCAUAGUCAUGGCAUUCCCCAUAGCAUUGUGUCUAAUCAAGGAACUUAUUUCACAGCAAAGGAAGUACAGUAAUGAGCUCAAUGUUCAUGGAAUUAAGUGAUCUUACCACAUUUCUCAUCACCUGGAAGCAGAUGCCUAUUUGAAACAUGGACUGACUUACUAAAGACUCACAGCAACACUUGGCAGACAAUACCCUGAAACAAUGGGGAUCUAUCUUACAAGCUUUGAGCUCUGCUGGUUUGGAGGACUUUGUCUCCAAAGGAAGAUUGUGUCCACCAGUGAACACAGCAAUGGUUUCAUUGACUUGGAAGACAAGAAUGCCACCUAGCCAUUUGGGGCUUUAUAUGACACUGAACAAAAAAGCCAAACAAAAGGAUUAUAAUAGUUCCCCCUAUCCACUUAUUUAUGGCUUCACUUCUCAAAGUUUCAGUUUCCCACAGCCAACUGUGGUCUGAAAAUAUUAAAUGGAAAAUCACAGAAAUAAACAAUUCAAGAAUUUUAAAUUGCA
This is a long non-coding RNA of Homo sapiens (human), 1870 nucleotides long. RefSeq lists it as uncharacterized. The transcript has 2 exons. The record is from RefSeq and is a predicted model, not a curated record. Lineage: Eukaryota; Metazoa; Chordata; Mammalia; Primates; Hominidae.